RNAcentral lists this ribosomal RNA (292 nucleotides) under uncultured bacterium. RNAcentral's name for it is "partial 16S ribosomal RNA". The record is from RNAcentral.
GGACUACCCGGGUAUCUAAUCCUGUUUGAUCCCCACGCUUUCGCACCUCAGCGUCAGUCUGCGUCCAGGUGGUCGCCUUCGCCACUGAUGUUCUUCCAGAUAUCUACGAAUUUCACCUCUACACCUGGAAUUCCACCACCCUCUCCGAGACUCUAGUUUGUCAGUUUCGAAUGCACUUCCAUGGUUAAGCCUUGGGUUUUCACAUCCGACUUGACAUACCGCCUACGCGCGCUUUACGCCCAGUAAAUCCGAACAACGCUUGCACCCUCUGUAUUACCGCGGCUGCUGGCAC